GAAGAGAAUAAAGUGCCAUUGCCGAGAGAGAGAGAGAGAGAGAGAGAGAGAGAGAGAGAGAGAGAGAGAGAGAGAGAGAGAAUGUGUGGUUUUACUUUGUAUAACUGUGUGUGUGUGUGUGUGUGUGUGUGUGUGUGUGUGUGUGUGUGUGUGUGGUUUUGCUUUGUAUAACUUAGACUCUUCCUAGACCCUGUGGAUGCCCUGGCAGUUCUUCUCAUGACUUAUUGAUGUUGUGAUCAUCUGGACCCUAGUACACCCAACUUUUCUAAUUGCUCAUCCAUUCUUCUGCCUCCUCUAGUUUCUUUGUCUCUGAAGUAACCAUUCUUGUCUUCCCAAAUUUGUAUGAUCCAGUUAGAAGAAAACUCCUUUGUCCUGACGGCAGGGUGAAGUUCAUGACAGAUUUUCCUAAAGCAUCUACCACCAUUGUUCGGCUUCUGUGACCUUUCACUUUCUCCACAUCUCUGGAGAUCAGUAAAAUGUUUCUUCUUUCCUAGGUAUCAGCCUCACCCCUCUUUUGUUGUUGUUGUUGUUUGGGUUUUUGUUGCUGUUUGUUGUUUGUUUGUUUUUGUUUUUCAAGACAGGGUUUCUCUGUGUGGCCUUGUGUCUAGCAACUUGCUCUAAAAGUCAGGGUGGCCUUGAACUCUGAGUUCUACAUCCCUCUGCCUCAGAGAAGGCCCACACUUAUACCACGCUCAGCAGCUGUCUGGCAUGAUAGGGUCUGUGGUAGGAAAUCAGAAUAUUGGACCUCACUCCAAGCCUAUUGUACCUUGCCUGCCACUGAACCAGAUGCCAAGGGCACAUGUGUACACCUGAGCUUUGAAGUGUUGCUUGGGAACCUAUGGUUUUCCCUGCUUUUUUCCCAAGUAGUGCUGAGAUUAAAGGUAUGUACCAACCAACACACACCAGCAGUUUCCCUGUAACAAUACAGCAUUCGUAUAAAGGGCUGUUCAGUUUAAAGCAACCCCAUAGACUUAGUCUCCUAGGACUGAAGUUGCACAAAUAGGAAAAAGCAAUGCAUGCUGUGUCUUGUCCUCCACCUUUUGGACCACUGGUAGGCAUGGAGAGCUGAUUGGUAAAAAUCUGAUUGGCUUUUUUUUUUUUUUUUUGCAACGUGUUUUGCGAAAGAUGUUUGGAAGCGGCCUAAAUCUUAUUUAUUCUCUUGAGGUUAU
RNAcentral lists this long non-coding RNA (1169 nucleotides) under Mus musculus (house mouse). RNAcentral describes it as "long non-coding RNA chr17:51858489-51859658". The record is from RNAcentral. Lineage: Eukaryota; Metazoa; Chordata; Mammalia; Rodentia; Muridae.